RNAcentral lists this long non-coding RNA (2029 nucleotides) under Monodelphis domestica (gray short-tailed opossum). RNAcentral's name for it is "lncRNA (ENSMODG00000042877.1)". Lineage: Eukaryota; Metazoa; Chordata; Mammalia; Didelphimorphia; Didelphidae. The record is from RNAcentral.
GUUAUUAUUAAAUUAUUUUUAUUAAAGCAACUAUUAAAUAUUAUUAUUAAUUUUUAUGUUAUUAAAUAAGGCAGAUCGUUGGCACAGCAGAUAUAGCACUAGACCUAGUGAGAAGUCUUGAGUUCAUUUGUGCCCUCUGACACUUUCUAUCUGAGUGAUUCUGAGACUUAAAUUUUCAUCCUCAUUCCUUACCUGCCAAAUAGAUAGAACAAAAAACACCUACCUUCUGAGUUUAUUAUGAGGAGAAAAUGAAAUCUUUUUCGAGCACUUUGCAGUGUUAUAUAAAUGCGAGCUAUUAUAAUCAGGUAAAGCACUUUCCUCAAGUGGAGAUUUUGAAACAUUUCCAUGACAUAUGGAGCAAAAAGGACAUGCUGGGCAUGCUAAAAGGCGAUGAGUUAACAAAGGAAAGGAGAGAUCUGAGAAUUUGGAUUAGAACUGGAAAGACCAUUAGAGGCUAUCAAGUCCAACUCCCUCCUCUUGCAUGUGAAGAACCUGAGACUAAGGUAAAUUGCCACUUAUACAGGUCUGACACUGUUUGUACACAGUAUCCUAAGGCAGAAUUUGAACUCUGGUCUUCUUGAUUCAAAACCUAGCACUCUAUGGACUAAAUUACUCUGAGUUGACCUAACCAUCAGUGCAUAAGUAUCUAGGGAAUAUUUAUUUCAACAUAACUGAAUAAUUACAUCAAGUGUGGAGAUCAUUACUGAAAGUAUGUGUAUGUAUGUAUAUAUUUACAUGUUUGUGUGUAUGUUUUUUUUGUUUAAUUCUUUAUAAUUUGCCAAUGAGAUUCUUCAUCUGGAACAUUUUAUUAUAUGAUAUUAACUGGGCAAAAUUGAACUGUGUGCAAAUUUCACAAGGAACAUUCAUCAUUAAUGUUCUUCUUUAUUUUAUAUGAGGUAAAUUCUUCCUUUAUCUUGGUGAAGAGCAUUAUCCCUAAUAUGCUUUUGAGGAUGGUGUACAGUCUUCACUGGGUGUUCAGGUAAGACUAGCACAUCUGGCGUGAAGGCUUGGCAAGCCUUUCUCAGGGCUAUUGCCCUUGUUUGGUGUCUCCCUGCCACCCAGCUCUCACCUGUGGCUCCAAGAAGCUAUAGAAUGCACUGGUCAUACCCCAGUACAUCACCUCAGCAGGAGAGAUAAACCAGGUUGAGGAUAACUGACAGGGCUGCGACCUGUCAAUAAUUAGGCAGGGUGUUUAUCCCCGGCAUGUGAAGACUUCCCUGGCAGAAUGGAUAGAUGAAAACAAUUUGUUUCAACAGCCAUGAGGGCAGUUGAAGAGGGCAUUGUGGAGUGUGUAGAGAUUGGCCAGACAUCAAAAAAGUCAAGGCCAUCCACUGCAUCCCAAGCCAUCAUCAAUCAUUUUGUCUUUUUUUUAUCAUUGCACUUUGAUGACUCUGGAAGAGAGACUGUGUGGCCAAUGACUUUGCACAACUCUGUCUCAUUUAAAUCCAAACUUAUGUGCCAGUCAAGAGAUAUCUGAUGUAACUUUGGUCUUCUUCAAGUAUGAAGGACAACAAUCAACAACAACAACAAAAAGAACCCAUUUCUUGUUGACACUGAAGCAUCCAUAGCAACUCGUACAGUACUUAGAAACCACCAACUUUUCACACUUAACACUAGUUUGGUUUUUUUUUUUUUAAUUUAAACUACAGAACAAUCCUAUGAGGGAAUUACUACAGCUAGAACUAAGAACUCAGGAGAGAACAUCAAUAUACUAUAGAGAUACAGCUUAGACUACUUUUCAAGGUGAUGUACUAUAAUAGAGCAUUUCAUUUGAAGUAUGGAAGAUGUGGGUUGGAAUCCCACCUCACACACUUACUGUAUAUAACCUCAGGCAAGUCUCUCAAGUCUUUCUCUAGUCUGUUUCCUUUUUCAUAAAAUGGGAAUUAUAUCAAUUACCUCAUAGAAUUGUAAGAAUCAAAUAAGAUCAUCAAUAUCACUUAGGAUUACUAUGUCACGGUCCCCUUGGGCAAUCUGAUAAAGCCUUCAGAUUCUUUCUUGGAAUAAAGUUUUCAAAAUGAAAUAUGUAUCA